Molecule: long non-coding RNA, 263 nt
Filed under: Gossypium raimondii (Peruvian cotton)
Lineage: Eukaryota; Viridiplantae; Streptophyta; Magnoliopsida; Malvales; Malvaceae
Description: long non-coding RNA (GRAI_LNC006552)
Source: RNAcentral
UCCUUCCCAUACAAAAAAGAACUUCAUAAGAAGGUGGAUGCCAAACUGGGAAAGACCUUAUGUGGAAGGCCUUAUCUGGAAAAACGUUGAUUUUGAUCAGAAGGGAUAACAAGGACAUACCUAAUCCUAUGGGUUUAGAUUCAAUAAAAAAAUAUAUUUCAAAAAAAAGAAGAAGAAAAGAAAAGAAAAAAGAAAAUAAGAGGCCAGGGUGAAAACCUGCAAAAGGGCGCCUUGAGACCAAAUGGGAUUUGAGUUGAAAACCU